UACGUAGGGGGCUAGCGUUGUCCGGAUUUACUGGGCGUAAAGGGCGCGUAGGCGGCGGGUCAAGUCGAGUGUGAAAGCCCCGGGCUCAACCUGGGAAUUGCGCUCGAGACUGGUCUGCUUGAGUUCGGGAGAGGAGAGUGGAAUUCCCAGUGUAGAGGUGAAAUUCGUAGAUAUUGGGAAGAACACCGGUGGCGAAGGCGGCUCUCUGGACCGAGACUGACGCUGAGGCGCGAAAGCGUGGGGAGCAAACAGG
This 253-nucleotide ribosomal RNA is filed under the name uncultured bacterium. Its description in RNAcentral is "partial 16S ribosomal RNA". It matches the Rfam family "Bacterial small subunit ribosomal RNA", at positions 524 to 776 of the family's 1533-position model. The record is from RNAcentral.